CCAAAUAUUGUUUACUGCUAUAUAAAAAAAGGGUAACACGGAUUAUUUAGAUUAUAAUGAACUGUGAUAUGUAAUGUGAAAGGUGGAAUGCACAAAUUUAGUAAUAGGACCUGAAGCUAUUGAAUCACUGUUUGCAACUUCGUUAUAGGUUAACACAUGAUCAGGCCUUUCUUGGAUAUCUAGCAAUUGAGCUUCCAGUUGGUCAGUACUUUCACAAUAAUAUAUAACUGUGUAAUGUUGCUUUGCAUCAGCCAGCUGAGACUGAACCGGUCUAAUAUGAGCCAGAAAAAUCUUCUAUUUUAGUUCAGCAUGAAUCUUUUCUAAGGGAAGU
RNAcentral lists this long non-coding RNA (331 nucleotides) under Coffea arabica (coffee). Its description in RNAcentral is "long non-coding RNA (CARA_LNC003326)". Lineage: Eukaryota; Viridiplantae; Streptophyta; Magnoliopsida; Gentianales; Rubiaceae. The record is from RNAcentral.